Molecule: ribosomal RNA, 576 nt
Filed under: uncultured bacterium
Lineage: Bacteria
Description: partial 16S ribosomal RNA
Source: RNAcentral
UGCUACACGUGGAAUUCCACCCCCUUCUGACACACUCUAGUCGUGCAGUCACAAAUGCAAUUCCCAGGUUAAGCCCGGGGAUUUCACACCUGUCUUACACAACCGCCUGCGCACGCUUUACGCCCAGUAAUUCCGAUUAACGCUUGCACCCUACGUAUUACCGCGGCUGCUGGCACGUAGUUAGCCGGUGCUUAUUCUUCAGGUACCGUCAUCCCCCUAGGGUAUUAGCCCAAAGGAUUUCUUCCCUGACAAAAGUGCUUUACAACCCGAAGGCCUUCUUCGCACACGCGGCAUUGCUGGAUCAGGGUUUCCCCCAUUGUCCAAAAUUCCCCACUGAUGCCUCCCGUAGGAGUCUGGGCCGUGUCUCAGUCCCAGUGUGGCUGAUCGUCCUCUCAGACCAGCUACUGAUCGUCGCCUUGGUAGGCCUUUACCCUACCAACUAGCUAAUCAGCCAUCGGCCGCUCCAAUAACGUGAGGUCUUGCGAUCCCCCACUUUCCCCCUCAGGGCGUAUGCGGUAUUAAUCCGGCUUUCGCCGAGAUAUCCCCCAUUACUGGGCACGUUCCGAUGUAUUACUC